CCUCCCUGGCAAUGGUUAAAGAGGCACCUUGUUGGCAGUGUUUUCAUAUAAGUCAGGGGAAGAGCAGAUGGUCGUUCUUUGUUCAACCUAGCUUGAUGUCUGGCUUGGUGGCCAAAGAUGUUUCAUGACUAGGACACACAA
Small nucleolar RNA from Psammomys obesus (fat sand rat), 141 nucleotides. RefSeq annotates it as small nucleolar RNA SNORA48. NCBI's taxonomy places the organism in Eukaryota, Metazoa, Chordata, Mammalia, Rodentia, Muridae. The record is from RefSeq and is a predicted model, not a curated record. The transcript has a single exon.